GCGCCAGUAGCUCAGCGUUAGAGCGCCGGUCUUGUAAACCGGAGGCCGGAAGUUAAAUCCCUCCCUGCCGCA
This 72-nucleotide transfer RNA is filed under the name Eleginops maclovinus (Patagonian blennie). RNAcentral describes it as "tRNA-Thr". It matches the Rfam family "tRNA". Rfam says of the family: Transfer RNA (tRNA) molecules are approximately 80 nucleotides in length. Their secondary structure includes four short double-helical elements and three loops (D, anti-codon, and T loops). Further hydrogen bonds mediate the characteristic L-shaped molecular structure. tRNAs have two regions of fundamental functional importance: the anti-codon, which is responsible for specific mRNA codon recognition, and the 3' end, to which the tRNAs corresponding amino acid is attached (by aminoacyl-tRNA synthetases). tRNAs cope with the degeneracy of the genetic code in two manners: having more than one tRNA (with a specific anti-codon) for a particular amino acid; and 'wobble' base-pairing, i.e. permitting non-standard base-pairing at the 3rd anti-codon position. The record is from RNAcentral. Lineage: Eukaryota; Metazoa; Chordata; Actinopteri; Perciformes; Eleginopidae.